RNAcentral lists this transfer RNA (71 nucleotides) under Prevotellaceae bacterium. RNAcentral's name for it is "tRNA-Gln". It matches the Rfam family "tRNA". Rfam says of the family: Transfer RNA (tRNA) molecules are approximately 80 nucleotides in length. Their secondary structure includes four short double-helical elements and three loops (D, anti-codon, and T loops). Further hydrogen bonds mediate the characteristic L-shaped molecular structure. tRNAs have two regions of fundamental functional importance: the anti-codon, which is responsible for specific mRNA codon recognition, and the 3' end, to which the tRNAs corresponding amino acid is attached (by aminoacyl-tRNA synthetases). tRNAs cope with the degeneracy of the genetic code in two manners: having more than one tRNA (with a specific anti-codon) for a particular amino acid; and 'wobble' base-pairing, i.e. permitting non-standard base-pairing at the 3rd anti-codon position. Lineage: Bacteria; Pseudomonadati; Bacteroidota; Bacteroidia; Bacteroidales; Prevotellaceae. The record is from RNAcentral.
UGUCCUGUGGUGUAACGGUAGCACAUCAGAUUCUGGCUCUGUUUGUUCGGGUUCGAAUCCUGACAGGACAA